This 795-nucleotide ribosomal RNA is filed under the name uncultured bacterium. RNAcentral describes it as "bacterial SSU rRNA". It matches the Rfam family "Bacterial small subunit ribosomal RNA", at positions 8 to 796 of the family's 1533-position model. The record is from RNAcentral.
AGAGUUUGAUCCUGGCUCAGAUUGAACGCUGGCGGAAUGCUUUACACAUGCAAGUCGAACGGCAGCACGGGAGCUUGCUCCUGGUGGCGAGUGGCGAACGGGUGAGUAACGCGUCGGAACGUACCGAGUAAUGGGGGAUAACGCAGCGAAAGCUGUGCUAAUACCGCAUACGCCCUGAGGGGGAAAGUGGGGGAUCGCAAGACCUCACGUUAUUCGAGCGGCCGACGUCUGAUUAGCUUGUUGGUGGGGUAAUGGCCUACCAAGGCGACGAUCAGUAGCGGGUCUGAGAGGAUGAUCCGCCACACUGGAACUGAGACACGGUCCAGACUCCUACGGGAGGCAGCAGUGGGGAAUUUUGGACAAUGGGGGCAACCCUGAUCCAGCCAUUCCGCGUGAGUGAAGAAGGCCUUCGGGUUGUAAAGCUCUUUCAGCUGGAACGAAACGGUACAUCCUAAUACGGUGUGCUAAUGACGGUACCAGCAGAAGAAGCACCGGCUAACUACGUGCCAGCAGCCGCGGUAAUACGUAGGGUGCGAGCGUUAAUCGGAAUUACUGGGCGUAAAGCGUGCGCAGGCGGAUUGUUAAGCAAGAUGUGAAAUCCCCGGGCUUAACCUGGGAAUGGCAUUUUGAACUGGCAGUCUAGAGUGUGUCAGAGGGGGGUGGAAUUCCACGUGUAGCAGUGAAAUGCGUAGAGAUGUGGAGGAACACCAAUGGCGAAGGCAGCCCCCUGGGAUAACACUGACGCUCAUGUACGAAAGCGUGGGUAGCAAACAGGAUUAGAUACCCUGGUAGUCG